RNAcentral lists this non-coding RNA (185 nucleotides) under Sporolactobacillus sp. THM7-7. RNAcentral's name for it is "6S RNA". It matches the Rfam family "6S / SsrS RNA". From Rfam's summary of the family: E. coli 6S RNA was the first non coding RNA to be sequenced, but its function was unknown until recently. It consists of 184 nucleotides that fold into an extended hairpin structure with a large single-stranded internal bulge. The record is from RNAcentral. Lineage: Bacteria; Bacillati; Bacillota; Bacilli; Caryophanales; Sporolactobacillaceae.
AGAGUCCUGAAGUGUUAGUCGAAAGUCGAUAUGUUUUGACCGAACAUUUUUUGAAAGGGAGCCUGGACGUUUUCGCUGGACGCGCACGCCCGGAAUCGGGAAGCGGAGAAAGUGAAACAGGGCACCCACCUGCCGGAGAGCGGGUUUCAAAGCGACGGCUUAGCAACGGCACAUUUGGGGCUCUU